This 497-nucleotide ribosomal RNA is filed under the name uncultured bacterium. RNAcentral describes it as "partial 16S ribosomal RNA". It matches the Rfam family "Bacterial small subunit ribosomal RNA", at positions 28 to 507 of the family's 1533-position model. The record is from RNAcentral.
GAUGAACGCUGGCGGCGUGCCUAAUACAUGCAAGUCGAGCGAACAGACGAUGAGCUUUCUCCUUUGACGUUAGCGGCUGACGGGUGAGUAACACGUGGGUAACCUACCUCUAUUACUUGGAUAACUUCGUGAAACCGGAUCUACUACCGCAUAAUAUUUCCAACCGCAUGGUUCGAUAGUUCAACAUGCCUUUCCUAUCACUUAUAGAUGGACUUGCGCCGUCUUAGCUAGUUGGUAAGGUACCGGCUUACCAAGGCAACGGUACGUAGCCGACCUGAGAGGGUGAACGGGAAAAAUGGAAAUGAGAAAAGGGGCAGAAUCCUAAGGGAGGCAACAGGAGGGAAACUUCCGAAAAGGGCGGAAGCCUGAAGGAGGAAAGACGGGGGAGGGAAGAAGGGCUUCGGAGCGGAAAAGUCUGUUAGUAGGGAAGAACAAACGGGAAAGUAACUGUGCACGGCUUGAAGGGAACUAAUCAGAAAGGCACGGCUAAAUACGUG